UACGUAGGGGGCAAGCGUUGUCCGGAAUCAUUGGGCGUAAAGAGCGUGUAGGCGGCCAGGUAGGUCUGCUGUGAAAACUCGAGGCUCAACCUCGAGACGCCGGUUGAAACCAUCAGGCUAGAGUCCGGAAGAGGAGAGUGGAAUUCCCGGUGUAGCGGUGAAAUGCGCAGAUAUCGGGAAGAACACCCGUGGCUAAGGCGGCUCUCUAGUACGGUACUGACGCUGAGACGCGAAAGCGUGGGGAGCGAACAGG
Molecule: ribosomal RNA, 253 nt
Filed under: uncultured bacterium
Lineage: Bacteria
Description: partial 16S ribosomal RNA
Rfam family: Bacterial small subunit ribosomal RNA
Source: RNAcentral